RNAcentral lists this ribosomal RNA (450 nucleotides) under uncultured rumen archaeon. RNAcentral describes it as "bacterial SSU rRNA". It matches the Rfam family "Archaeal small subunit ribosomal RNA", at positions 606 to 1055 of the family's 1478-position model. The record is from RNAcentral.
AGGUUAGCGGUACUCCCAGGGUAGAGGUGAAAUUCUGUAUCCUGGGAGGACCACCUGUGCGAAAGGCGGCUAACUGGAACGAACCUGACGUGAGGGGACGAAAGCUAGGGGCNCGAACCGGANNANAUACGCGGGUAGCCCUAGCCGUAAACGAUGCGGACUUGGUGUUGGGAUGGCUUUGAGCCGCUCCGGUGCCGAAGGGAAGCUGUUAAGUCCGCCGCCUGGGAAGUACGGUCGCAAGACUGAAACUUAAAGGAAUUGGCGGGGGAGCAACACCAAAACGCGGAGCUGCGGUUUAAUUGGAUUCAACACCGGGAAUCGGUCCAGGAGCGACAGCUGUAUGAGUACCAGGCUGAUGACCUUGUUUGACUAGCUGAGAGGAGGUGCAUGGCCGCCGUCAGCUCGUACCGUGAGGCGUCCUGUGUAAGUCAGGCAACGAGCGAGACCCAA